CUGGUGUGUGUGUGUUGGUGUUUUCUUUCUUGCCUCAGAGAUUUCAGACCUGCACAACGUAACAGAAGCUGAUCUUGGCUGCCAGGAUCUAGUGGCAUUAUUUGGUUGAUGGACCAGGAAUAACAAGAAGCAAAGAAUUAUCAUCUUGAAGAAGACCAACUUCAGAAGUACCACUUGCAUUUCUUGCAGAAGAAAGGCAUUCCCUGAGUGAAGGAUGAAGAGUGUAAACCCCUUUUACUUCUCAAAUGUCAAUUCAAGAAAGAAAGGAGCCAUUGCAAGCAGAGUUCCUGGCGAGGCUGGCCCCAGGCAUCCCUGUCAAGUGGAUGCUUACAGUGGCACUUUCAGCUUUCUCCUGCCUUGCUAUACCUGGUGGGCUCUACGCUGUGCUUCAUACAGGCAUUCUACCGUCCCCUCUACCAACUCCCUCUUUCAGGGAAGGAGCUGGAUGUUAUCUUGACUGGCACAAAGGCUGGUUCACAGCUGACAGCUUGUGGUUUCCUACUGACUACAAGUUUUUUUUUUGAAGACUAAAAAUGUC
RNAcentral lists this long non-coding RNA (538 nucleotides) under Chinchilla lanigera (long-tailed chinchilla). Its description in RNAcentral is "lncRNA (ENSCLAG00000024150.1)". The record is from RNAcentral. Lineage: Eukaryota; Metazoa; Chordata; Mammalia; Rodentia; Chinchillidae.